This 515-nucleotide ribosomal RNA is filed under the name Pseudomonas protegens. RNAcentral's name for it is "bacterial SSU rRNA". It matches the Rfam family "Bacterial small subunit ribosomal RNA", at positions 62 to 570 of the family's 1533-position model. The record is from RNAcentral. Lineage: Bacteria; Pseudomonadati; Pseudomonadota; Gammaproteobacteria; Pseudomonadales; Pseudomonadaceae.
UCGAGCGGCAGCACGGGUACUUGUACCUGGUGGCGAGCGGCGGACGGGUGAGUAAUGCCUAGGAAUCUGCCUAGUAGUGGGGGAUAACGUUCGGAAACGGGCGCUAAUACCGCAUACGUCCUACGGGAGAAAGUGGGGGAUCUUCGGACCUCACGCUAUUAGAUGAGCCUAGGUCGGAUUAGCUAGUUGGUGAGGUAAUGGCUCACCAAGGCGACGAUCCGUAACUGGUCUGAGAGGAUGAUCAGUCACACUGGAACUGAGACACGGUCCAGACUCCUACGGGAGGCAGCAGUGGGGAAUAUUGGACAAUGGGCGAAAGCCUGAUCCAGCCAUGCCGCGUGUGUGAAGAAGGUCUUCGGAUUGUAAAGCACUUUAAGUUGGGAGGAAGGGCAGUUACCUAAUACGUGAUUGUUUUGACGUUACCGACAGAAUAAGCACCGGCUAACUCUGUGCCAGCAGCCGCGGUAAUACAGAGGGUGCAAGCGUUAAUCGGAAUUACUGGGCGUAAAGCGCGC